This 1549-nucleotide ribosomal RNA is filed under the name human metagenome. Its description in RNAcentral is "bacterial LSU rRNA". It matches the Rfam family "Bacterial large subunit ribosomal RNA", at positions 774 to 2326 of the family's 2925-position model. The record is from RNAcentral.
CCGAACUCACCGCCGUUGAAAAGUUGGGAGAUGAGAUAGGUCUAGGGGUGAAAAGCCAAUCGAACUAGGAGAUAGCUCGUUCUCUCCGAAAUGCAUUUAGGUGCAGCCUUGGUUGAAGAUAUGCGGGGGUAGAGCACUGUAUGGCCUAGGGGGCGUAUAGCUUACCGAAGUCAAGCAAACUGCGAAUACCGUAUAUUGUUUACCGGGAGUGAGUCUACGGAUGACAAGGUCCGUGGACGAGAGGGGAACAGCCCGGACCGCCAGCUAAGGUCCCAAAUUAUGUCUAAGUGGGAAAGGAGGUGGAUAUUCACAGACAACCAGGAGGUUGGCUUAGAAGCAGCCAUACCUUGAAAGAGUGCGUAAUAGCUCACUGGUCGAGAGUAUCUGCGCCGAAGAUAUAACGGGGCUAAGACAUGAACCGAAGCCGCGGAAGCGUGCUAGGCACGUUUGGUAGGAGAGCGUUCUGUAGGCCGUAGAAGGUGUCCUGAAAGGGAUGCUGGAGGUAUCAGAAGUGAGAAUGCAGGAAUGAGUAGCGAGAAGGAGGGCGAGAAUCCCUCCGGCCGGAAGUCCAAGGUUUCCAGGGGAAGGUUUGUCCGCCCUGGGGGAGUCGGGACCUAAGCAUAAGCAGAGCUGCGAAGGCGAAUGGAAAACAGGUUAAUAUUCCUGUACCGCUGUGUACUGACUGAGAGAUGGAGUGACGCAGGAAGGUAUGCGGGAAGGCUGACGGAAUAGCCUUUCUAAGGGUGAAGCGUGGACAUAUAGGCAAAUCCGUAUGUUUAAACGUGAGGCCUGACGGGUAAGUACCUUAGGGUAUAAGCCGCAGAUCCUACACUGCCGGGAAAAACUUCUAUUUAGGGAAGCAGCGCCCGUACUGUAAACCGACACAGGUGGACAGAGUGAGAAACUUAAGGCCGACAGGAUAACUCUGGCUAAGGAACUCUGCAAAAUGGCCCCGUAACUUAGGGAGAAGGGGUGCCCGUGGUACCUGAAGGGGGAGACACCCGGAGGGGAAACGGGCCGCAGUGAAGAGUCCCAAGCAACUGUUUACCAAAAACACAGGUCUAUGCUAAGCCGGAAGGCGACGUAUAUGGGCUGACACCUGCCCAGUGCCGGAAGGUUAAGAGGAGGAUUGAGAGAUCCGAAUUGAAGCCCCGGUGAACGGCGGCCGUAACUAUAACGGUCCUAAGGUAGCGAAAUUCCUUGUCGGGUAAGUUCCGACCUGCACGAAUGGUGAAAUGAUUUGGGAGCUGUCUUGGCCGGAGACCUGGUGAAGUUGUAAUGCCGGUGAAGAUACCGGUUACCUGCAGUAGGACGGAAAGACCCCGUGGAGCUUUACUGCAGCCUGGCAUUGGGUUUCGGCAAUGUGUGUAUAGGAUAGCUGGGAGGCUAUGAAGAUAUGGCGUCAGCUGUAUUGGAGCCGCUGUUGGAAUACCAGCCACGCAUUGUUGGGAUUCUAAUCUCAUAAGAUGGGAGACAGUGCUAGGUGGGCAGUUUGACUGGGGCGGUCGCCUCCAAAAGAGUAACGGAGGCGUUCAAAGGUUCCCUCAGG